AAAAAAAAAAAAGAAAAGAAAAAAUUCCCUAAUUAGACUAAAUCUGGGUAGAGAUAAAAUAUUUGUAUUUUCCCCACACCAUUAUUUAAUGCUCCUUAUUGAAUUGUAUUUAUCAGUCAUCAAAAAAAUUCAAAAAUUAGUGCAUGAAAAUACUGUGUAUGUGGACAGUCUUAUCAUUUUAGAUGGGUGAGUGACCCUGACAAGGCCUGAGCCCAGACACAUAGGGAUUCAGGCUUCCUUCUCCAGGGCCACUGUUCCCCACCACCUAUAAGAGCUGCUUACUCCUGCUCUAACAUCAAGUCUGUGAACUUGCAUAUUUGAUGCUACCGGAGUUCUUGCUGUGGCUCAGUGGUAAUGAACCCAACCGGUAUUCAUGAAGAUGCAAGUUCGAUCCCUGGCCUCACUCAGUAGGUUAAAGGAUCCAGCAUUGCUGUGAGCUGUGCUGUAUGUUGCAGAAGCGGCUCAGAUCUGGCAUUGCUGUGGCUGUGGUAUAGGCCAGCAGCUGCAGCUCCAAUUGGACCCCUACCCUAGAAACUUUCAUGCGCCACAGGUGUGGCUCUAAAAAGGAACAAGAAAAAAAAAAUCCAUGAAUGAUGCUACCUCUAAAGAAUUAAUUAGUAAAGAAGGAAGCUAACUACCUUUUGAAGAAUAAGAUCAUCUCAGAAUACAGAAUAAGCUAAACUAUAUCAGAGGCAUUUUAAUUAUUUUUUCCCAGGAGCUAAUAAGGGAGUACCUCCAGAAAUUAACAUCCUUUAAUUCCAGCUCUGUAACUUAUUUCAAAAGGGAUACAAUUUGCAGGGUUCUGGGGUCUCAUGCCAGAGACCCCAUGUAUUACUUAACUAAUUUUUACAGGAAUCAAACCCAUAAUUUUGACCUUAUCAUUAAAAUCUGAAACGCACUCUCUUCCCCAGUCUUUGAGCAGCUUCGGUAAAAUUCAGAAUGAAGAGAUGGCUUAAAUGGCUAUUAGGAGAUAGGAAUCAGAGUCCUGAUUCCUACAAGAUGCCAACAAAGGCUAUUAGGUAUUUGUUAAAGCUCUAUUUGAAAGAACAAGCAUUUAUCUAUAAACCAAAAGAAAAUUAUCUAUGUUAUAUUUUAAAUACACAUCUUAAUUAAUUUAGUUAAUUUAUAAAGCUGAGAUUCUAUAAUCUACUCAAUUUGAAUUCUUGGAUGUGCUCCUUUAAAUUACAAUUUGCUGAAAGCCAUCUUGCCUGCAUUGGGAGUCUAGCAAAUUUAGUGAAAGUUCUUUGAUAAAAAAAAAAAAAAUUAAAUAAAUUAAAAAAAGAAUCUGGGCAAUAGGAGUUCCCGUCAUGGCACAGUGGUUAACGAAUCUGACUAGGAACCAUGAGGUUUCGGGUUCGGUCCCUGCCCUUGCUCAGUGGGUUAACGAUCCGGCUUUGCCGUGAGCUGUGAUGUAGGUUGCAGACGCGGCUCGGAUCCUGUGUUGCUGUGGCUCUGGCGUAGGCUGGGGGCUAUAGCUCCGAUUAGACCCCUAGCCUGGGAACCUCCAUAUGCCACGGGAGCGGCCCAAGAAAUAGCAACAACAACAACAACAAAAGACAAAAAAAAAAAAAGAAUCUGGGCAAUAAACAAAAAAGGCAUUUAAAACACAUGCAACUUACUAUAACAUUUUGUCAUAUGGCAAGGGGGUAGGAUGAGCGAGUUUAGCCCACAAAAGUUAUACAUUUGUAUUUAUGCCUUAAAAUGAAGGAAAAAAGCACAAAAGCCAAAGAAACCACCUCUCCCAAGUGUCAACAUACUAUUGCUUCAGAUAAACACAACUCUAUUUUUCUAAUAUUUAAAUAAUAAAAAUGAUGCCAUGUCCAAGCUACCAGUGGUUUGGUUUUCUUGAAUACAGAGUUGGAAAAGAGACCUGGAAGCACACUCACUUCAAAAUUAAAGGGUAAAAAACCAAAGUCAAAUUCCAUUUCUAGAUUAGUGUUCCAAUGGCUAUUAAGAGAUAGGAAUCAGGAGUCAGAUUUCAAGAUGCCAACAUCUGAAAUCUGGAAUUCACUAUAUUUUUUUAUAUAAAAAAUGAAACUACAUUAACAUCUGCUAUUCAGAAUACAAAAUUUAAGUUGUGACAUGAACUGAAUUCUUACUUUUAAGGUGAACUUCCAGUCCUUUCCAUUCACAAAUAGGACUUGAUUUAUUAAGUUCCCUGCUUUGUAUCUCCAGAGUUGAUCAAAGCACAUUUUCUUAGUACAAUCUGUAUUGUUCCAAGUGUUUUAUAAACAUCUUUUGUGAGGGUUUACAGGAGGGAUCUGAAAUCAUAUCCAAGGUUUCAUCCUAUGAGUCAGUUAUUCUUGAAAGGAAACAGAAUCUCUGUUUUUAUCACCUUUAUUUCCCUACUUAACACAAAUGUAAUUCUAAUCGCAAAUUUUAAAAAAAUAAUUAGCAGGACUGUCAUUAAAUAACUAAGUAGGGCAAUGGUUUAAAAAAAAAAAAAAAAAAAAAAGGAAAAGGCAUAAUUUUCUUACCUGGACAUGAAAACUCUGGGUCUGUACAACAUGUGAAUGCUCACAACAGUUCCUCUGCCAGUAAGGUCACCUCACAAAGCCUGUCUACUAUCGAGCCUUAUACCACUAACUCCCAAAUCCUUAUUUCCUGCCCUCACCUGAGAUCCAAACUGUCCAUCCGGCUGCCUGCUGAACAUGUUCGCCUGAAUGCACUCAAGCAGCUAUUUCCUGAUUACCUACUAUGUGCCAAGUAUAGUAUGCUGGGCUCCGGAGGGUUCAGAGUAAAGAAAACAAGACAGCAUCUGUUUCUUCUAAUUGUGAAGAAAGCCAAACCCAUCACAGGAUCAUAAAAACAUGCAACACACAAACUGUGAUUAGUUCUAUGUCUCAUCUGGUCAAAACUAAACUCAGUUUACUCACUGCCCUCCACUCUGCUAGGCCCCGAACCCCUAUUCUUGGGUGGAAACAGUGCCGUCACAGGUCGCCAGCGUCACGAAUGCGGAGGCAUUCUUAAUCCCCCCAUCCUCCUCAGUCUUCUCAAAGUCGCUGUUCCCAGAGUAGAUGUGCAUGGUUGGCUCCGCCCAGAACCACCUUCCCCCACUUCUUCUGGGAACCCCCAGUGUGAUGGUGACCCCAGUGCCUGGGGAAGGCACAAAACCUAAGGCCAAGAGAGCCCCUGGGACCUUAAAAACUGAAGCUGGGAGAGAGCACCUCCUUCCUCCUCUUGGCUGCAGAGCAUGAAGACAGCCCCUGCCCUGUGGGGAAGCCUGAGGGGCCAGCGAUGGGAGCCAGAGUCCCUGUGAUGAGCGACCUCUUCUAAACCCGGGAGUGCCCGGGGUUGCCCUGGUUUGUGCCGCAUUUCAUAACUUUCAUGAACUUCUCCAGGAACCUUCCAGUGAAUCCCCUUAUAAUUUAAGCUAUUUUGAGAAGGGGUUUGUUACUUGUAGCCAGGAUUCCUGACAAAUAGCUCCUACACGUUUCCGGCCUGUCUUAUCCAACUCUGCCACAAGUGCCCCAGCUCAGGUCCUCAUCAACUCUUACUGGACUAGGGGAGCAGCCUAAUGGGUCUCUGUCUCUGGGCUUGGCCCUGACAUCCAGCAUUCGUAAUACAGUGGCCAGAAGAGCCACAUCACCCUCCCCCUGCUGGACAGUGGCUCCAGCAUCAAUAUGGACAAACCACAGAAUGGGGAAAAAAAACUCUACAAUUCAUAUUAUCUGACAAGGAUAUAUGUGAGGGGGUGCUCAUGUGUGCGUAUCUAGAAUAUACAAGAAAUAUUAUAACUCAACAAUAAAAAGGCAAUCCAAUUUUUAAAAUGAGGAAAGAAUUUGAAUAGACAUUUCUCUAAAAAAGAUAUACGAAUGGCCAAGAAACCCAUGUUCAACAUCAUUAGCCAUGAGGGAAAUGCAAAUCAAAACUACCGUGAGAUACCCUUUACACCCACUGCAAUGGCUACUAUGAAAAGCAAAACAAAACAGGGUAAUAACACAUGCUGGCAAAGAUGUGAAGAAAGUGGAAUCCUCUAACUUGCUGAUGGUAAUGCAAAAUAGUACAGCCACUUGGGAAAACAGUUUGGCAGUCCCUCAACAAGCUAAAUAUAGCAUCACCAUGAGACCCAGCAAUUCUACUCCUAGGUAUAUAUCCAUGGACGUGACAGCAGAUGUCCACCCAAAACCCUGUGCAUAAAUGUUCACAGCAGCACUAUUCAUUUAAUAGCCCCAACAGGGAAAGCAACCAAAUGGCCCUCGGUGGAUGAAUAAACAAAAUGUGGUAUGUCCACUCAAUAGAGCAUUAUUUGGCAAUAAAAAAGGAAUUCUGACACAUGCUACAACAUGACUGAACCUCAAAAACAGGCUAAGUGAAAGGACUCAGAUGCAAAAGAUCACACAUAUGGUAAGAUUCCAUUUCUAUGAAUAAAUGCAUAGACGUAGAAAGCAGAAUGGUGGUUGCUAGGGGCUAAAGAGAGGGAAGAAUGGAAAGAGACUGCUACUGGGGAUGGGGAUUCUCUUUGGAGUGAUGAAAGGGUUCUGGAAUUAGACAGGGGGGAGCGGUGCACAAUUCUGUGAGUAUACAAAAAUCCAGAAUUGUAUGCUUCAUCAGGUGAACUUUAUGGCAUGUGAAUUACACCUCAAUAGAGCUAUUAUGGGAAAAAAAAUGACUGCACAAAAUCAUAGAGUGACACCUCUGUGCAGGAGGUGGGGGUGGGGCUGACUGAAUCACUUGGCCAGCUACAAAAUAACCUGUCGUAAAAAAAACACAGUCUCUUCAAAGGAAAAUGAUUUGUUUUCCUACCACCAAAUCCCUAUAGCGACCAACCAUAAAUCAAAUCCAAAGUAAAAAGAGGAAAGAACAAGAGAGCCCACAAACUGUAAUUCGCUGGCAGGUAUGAAAUGGAAUUAACCAAAGACUGCACAAAGAAAAAAUGUUUAUCAGAACUGCUCACUUCCCUCUGAUUACACAGAUUUAAACAAGUCAAAGUCCUUCUUAACUAAUGAGAAAAUGUGCCAGCUUCUUUAUUAGCAGAGAGCAAGGAAACACAAGCAUUCUCUCCGUAUAACAGAAUUAACAUCCCACAGCAGGUCUGUUUGUACUUGGCCGUCAUGAACCUUUCAUCUCAGAGCGCUGCUAAAUUAAACAAGCCUAUGUUGUAUUGAACACAAUGAGCCAGACGCCCUGGCAGGCUCCGAAACUUCACCAGUUAAUGUUGAAGAACAUUAGAAAUAAAGAAGAUGCUUAAGAACGAUGGUGAUGGUGGUAUAAAGCAGCUGUGUCUUCAUUCCACCCCACAUUUCACUUGCCCACAGUAAUGGAAACAUUCUUACAACCACAAGGCUCUCUGGUGUACACAAGAAGGAGAGAUCUGGAUUCAAGUCAGGGGCUUUCUUUUUUAACAUACUAACUGAGGGCCCAAGGACACAUCUCGAAACAGAGGCCUUCUCGUCUCCAAAACUGGGGUGACUUUAUCUAGGCUCACAGAGUCGCCACAAGAACCAGAUGAGAGAACCUCAAGGUAGAGCCUGGUGCUCAAAAUGCACAUCCCCCCCAUAAAAAUCCUCCCUGCUCUCAACUCUUCAAUGCAAAUACUCAUUCUGGAGCUUGCAGCAUAGUGUAAGUACUUGACAUGAGCCAUGCUUUUCUAUUCCAGGGACAUUCAAGGAACCAAAAGAUCCUAUGAAAAUUCCAUGUGAAUUACUCCCCCUCCCACAGAACCCAAAGCAAGAAAGCCAUCACUAAAGUCUGUCUUAAAUGUAUUAAGUCAGGGCUCGACACAAAGCAUUCAUUCACCUAGGAGGUAUUUAAGAGCAAUGAACUGAGAAAGACACACCAAGAGAAACACUUACUAUUAGAGACAAAUGCUAUUUUUCAGCACAGUAAUUGGUAACCUUUCCAUAAAGAUUGAUGCAAUCUGAUUCUAAUUCCCUCGUGUCAGUAAUCAGUUCUUAAGGUAAAAGAAAAAGGAAGUGGGAUGGUUUCAAGUGCUCCAGAAAAGGUGUAGGAGGAUAUCCUUUCCCACUGACAGCAAUUAACGUUUGAGUGACGGCUGCUAGAACAUUCAGACUGGAAAACUUUGUUCCAUUAGAAUAGACAAAUCUGCUUAAAACUAACUGGGUUUAACAGACACAAACAUAACCCUCACCAUGAACUAGGCAUCCUCUCUGAACAAACUGGCACAAAGGUAAAGCCUGCUAGGAACUCCCUACUUGUCAGUACAAAGCAAUAAGCUGCGCUCCCCUGUCGGAAGUCUAUUAAGGAGCGCAUCUAGACUCUGCAGGAGCAGACAGACAGACUCCCCCGGCCCAGCUCCUCACAGAGUUACAUCAUGCCACAACACCUGCAGAGCUUCCAGGGUCAGCAAGGAAGGGAAAGUCUCAAGGGGGAUGGGACAUUCAGAGGCUGCUGCUAUCUAUCCCCAGGGGGUUUCACUAAGCACCACAGUUAUGAUGGAAAUUACAGCCCAAAGCUACAGUUCGCUACCUCUCUUUCCAAAACUCUCCCCUUAAGACUCUUGAGUUAAUAAAAGCUCUGAGAGACCAACUCAUUAGGGAUACUACAGAAGCAGGGUUGGAGUGCUGGCUUUGCUAGGGAGCUGUUAGCCAUACCACGUAUAAGCACUUAACAUUUUUUUGCCCUCCUACUGCAGUUCUGCACUCCCCCCGAACCAGAACCCAGCUUCAUCUGAAUACUCUACCACCACCAACCCUGUAUAUGAAGACAGACCUUCUCCUCUCUCCAACUUUCCAAUCAAAUAACCACUUACACUGGCAGUCUACACUUUAAGCUUUAUGCCUAAAAUAGGAAGAAACUGUUGCAAAUGUACAAAAUCCAACCCAUUAAAUACAUAAGAAUGUCUUAAAGUCUGUUUAAAUACAGUAUAAAAUUUUUUUACAAAUGCAGUUAAGAGGAGAAAUAAAUGAUAAAAUCUUAAUUUUAAUUAGGUCUCCAGUUUAAACUACUACUAGCAAUCCCUCACUUUCCAGGAGUAUUUUUAGAAUUCAAAUUUAAAAGCAUGCAAUUAAAGAAAUUGACUCAUCGUGAAAUGAAAGCUACCAUAGAGGCAAAGUCCUAUAUACUGCAGAAAAGAGGCACAAGAACUUAGAACUGUGGUUGUUUUAGAAAACAAAUACAAGAUCAUACCAUUAGCCACAAUAACAUAUCAGAGGGUAAAGGCCAGGAAAUCUAAUAGACCCUACUAAAGAAAAUUCAGUAAUUUCCUUUCAUGUCUGCAUAGAUUUAACUUUAGGCUAUUUAUUAAAGGUGCUAAGAAAAUUAAAGUACAAAUAAAAAUUGCUAGAGGAUUAUUUAACACAUUUAAAAUUUUUUACAAGCAAGUAACUGCUGUUAAAAUACCAUUUUAAGCUAGCUCAUGCAUUCUUUAGAAUUCCAUAUUCCAGUGGAAACAAAAUGUAUGAAAAAAGAGUCCACAACAUUGCUUGAAUCUAUUAGAUAAUUGUUCCAUCCUCUCUAUUUAUUUUGGCUGUGAAAAACCGGUUAGGAGUCAGAAAAGCUUAAUAGGCAGGAUACUGGGCAAAGAUUUAUACAUUCUUCUUAACUGCUGGCAAUCUAUUAUUCUACUUUUAUUUUUAAUACCUGCUAAAACGUACAAUUAAAAUAUAAUUCAAUAUAAUUCAAAAUGUAUUUGGGGGCAUUUAUUUUAUCCUUGCCCUCAAAUAACAUAAUGGAAAAGUAUUCCCAUGCCUAUAAUAUGAAACAUAAAUAGGAUUCUUUAGUAAGAUCUAGUACCUCACCUACUUCAGACACUUCCUUUGCCUUUUACAGCAAUAACAAAAAACAAAUAAACAAAAGCACAGAUUUAAAACACAGUGGUAUAUGUGAUUCUGAAAAGAAACAGGACAUAGUCCCAAGCAACGGUCCAAAAAAAUCACAAAAUGUUAUGGUAGCAAGUGUCACUACAAUCAUGUAGGUCCAGAUUUAGGUGCACUUAAAAAUGAAAGAUGCCAGUUUUCUUCUCCAAGAAAUUAAAUUUCUUAAUGAAAAUUUAAGGUACUUCUCAUUUACAUCUUAAUCCUAACUGAACAAUGAUGAUAUUUGCCCAUCAUUAAUUCCUUCAAAAAUGAUGUCAGCAUCUGCCACGUCUGCACCAGAUAUCCUAUCUGUUGCUGGAUACAAGCUGGUAAGUAAAACACUCGGUCCCAGGCUCGACAAUGUUAACUUGGAGUGAAAAGAAAAGUACCCACAUGAAAAGCGAUCUAUGCUGUAAGAAGAGGCAUUUUAUAUCAAGGAAAAAGAGAUGAAUUUUAAUUGGUUUUUUAUUUUUUUUACUAAGUCAAAGAACAAACAGUAAGUCAAUGACUAAGUUGGUUGGUGUCUGUUUCAUGUGAGACCUUCCUUAAGGAACUCUUAUUUAACUGAAAUAAAAUAUAAAACAAACAUAAAAUUAGAGCUCACAUUCAUAUCAGAAAUUGGCAAAAUCCUUCGGCCAGAUGAGACCUAACUAAUAUCAAUAGUCCCAGGUUUACAUGUGAAGGCAUAUUCACAGAAGUCACUAAUACCGCAUUAUCACCCACGGGUGUAAAUCACAUUCUGUAUGCUAUUCUGCAAGUGGGCUCCUGUUUGAAAGAUGAUAAGUUAGUUUUGAAAGCUUCUCUAAGCUCCACCACAAUAAAAAAACAAAGGUAUUGCUUUUGGGAGUUCCCGUUGUGGCUCAGUGGUUAACUGACUAGGAACUGUGAGGUUGUGGGUUCCAUCCCUGGCCUUGCUCAGUGGGUUAAGGAUCCAGUGUUGCGUGAACUGUGGUGUAGGUCGCAGACGUGGCUCGGAUCACACGUUGCUAUGGCUCUGGUGUAGGCUGGCAGCUACAGCUCCGAUUAGACCCCUAGCCUGGGAACCUCCAUAUGCCAAGGGAGCAGCCCUAGAAAUGGCAAAAAAAGAAAAAAGCCAAAAAAAAAAAAAGAGGUAUUGCUUUCUAUAAGGGAAAACUUUCACUACCAAAGAUAGUUACCAAUAAUUUUAAAACAUUCAUAAUGAGUGAAUCAGGUCAACAGACCUAAAAACAAACUCCAUAGAGUUUAAUAUUUUCAUCACAUUUAAAAUCCAAGAGUAUGUCUCACGCACAAGAAACAUAGGUAUGUUCUCAAUACGGAAAUUCCUCAGGUAAGGAGGACUAUCGAGAGUGAAAGGUCUUUAAAACAUAAAACGUUUACUCCAG
Molecule: long non-coding RNA, 9121 nt
Filed under: Sus scrofa (pig)
Lineage: Eukaryota; Metazoa; Chordata; Mammalia; Artiodactyla; Suidae
Description: lncRNA (ENSSSCG00060040163.1)
Source: RNAcentral